AUACAGGAAGGAGUAUCAUCAAACUUAUACUUAAUAACUUGCUCCUACUAAACUCUUUUUUUAUUAUUAUUCAUUCAACAUGACCCUUUUGCAAACAUAUACACACAGACGGUAUGAUAACUUGGAAAAACCCUCAGUUCACAAAACAAAAUACACGCACACAAGCAACAUCCCCUCAUCUCAUCUCCUUCACUACAUUCUUCUUUAAGAAACCCUAAAUUCCUUUCUUCCAUCCACACAACACCCCUUUACAUCACUCCCCAACCUCUCGAUCUCCGAUUCCGGCGACUGGAGCCGCUUAUCCGGCGACCGGUUACCUCCGGCUACACCACGAUCACCCCUAACUCCUCUCUUUCCCCUAAAAUCGUCGCCCACACACACAAAUACACCCAACCCCCUUGUCUCUUUCGGAUUAAACGGCCAGCCAGCCACCAUGGUGAUGGCGGCGCACGACGGUAACGACCGAGGAGGAGAGAGAGAACGAAAGAGAAUCGGAGAAGGAAGGCGGACAGUGGCGGAGACAGACGACGCCGACGACGACCGGCUGCCGCUGUGAACGGCGUCAGUGGCUUUUUCCGACGAGACUAUUAUUCCGGGGUAUUGAUAUGUUGAUGAUCGGUGAUGACCGAUGAUGAUGCUGAUGGGGGGGGGGUGGGGCGGCCGACGGUGGCGAACCGUUUUACCAGCAUCGGAGACUCACGGCAACAGUGGUGUCAUUCUGGUGGACUUUGGGUUUGGUUCACGUGUUGGUUCAGUAGUCAACGUGGGGUUUCGGGUCAGAUUCGGGUUCGCGACUCAGUUCGGUGUUCAAGUCAAGGUUUGGUUCAACUCGGUCAAACCCGAGUCAACUCGGGUCAACAACUGGUCAAACGUCAGUUUCGGGUGUUACGGAUUCUGGUCAGUGGUUCGGGUCAACUAUAGUCAACUGGUCAGCCAGGGUUCGGUUGCGGUUCGAGUGGCCAAAUUUUGAUUCAGUUCGAGUUGGUCAGUCAACGGUCAAACUCAGUCAACUGAGGUCAGACUCAGUCAACACGAGACGCGGUAAAGAUUUAAUUGACGCAAAAUUUUUGAAAUUAUUGUUAUGGAUUGUAGAUUUUUAGAUUACGCGAACCGAGCUCGAACCUUUAGCGAUUAUAUACGUUUUAUUCUUGGCGCUUUUUGACGAAAACUACAUAUAUUCGAUAACAAUGCGUUGAAUUAUUGUUGA
This is a long non-coding RNA of Helianthus annuus (common sunflower), 1207 nucleotides long. RefSeq lists it as uncharacterized. Lineage: Eukaryota; Viridiplantae; Streptophyta; Magnoliopsida; Asterales; Asteraceae. The record is from RefSeq and is a predicted model, not a curated record. The transcript has 2 exons.